AGCGAACGCUGGCGGCAGGCUUAACACAUGCAAGUCGAGCGGGCACCCUUCGGGGUGUCAGCGGCAGACGGGUGAGUAACGCGUGGGAACGUACCUUCUGGUUCGGAACAACCCUGGGAAACUAGGGCUAAUACCGGAUACGCCCUUAUGGGGAAAGGUUUACUGCCGGAAGAUCGGCCCGCGUCUGAUUAGCUAGUUGGUGAGGUAACGGCUCACCAAGGCGACGAUCAGUAGCUGGUCNGAGAGGAUGAUCAGCCACACUGGGACUGAGACACGGCCCAGACUCCUACGGGAGGCAGCAGUGGGGAAUUUUGGACAAUGGGGGCAACCCUGAUCCAGCCAUGCCGCGUGCGGGAAGAA
RNAcentral lists this ribosomal RNA (360 nucleotides) under uncultured bacterium. RNAcentral describes it as "bacterial SSU rRNA". It matches the Rfam family "Bacterial small subunit ribosomal RNA", at positions 29 to 412 of the family's 1533-position model. The record is from RNAcentral.